UCCGCCAGCAUUGAUGAUGAUGUUUCUGUUCAACCACUCAGUACUCGACUCUGUUUUCUUUAACUAGACGAACAGUUCCGCCUUCGUUCUUAACGAAACACGUUAAACCCAGCAUCGUUUAUUCUGCCCCAUCUGCAGGAAACUCACGACCUCUCUUCCGCUUUUGCGCUUGACAACACGAAACAAAAUCAAAGUCCCCGCCUGCACUUCUUCGCUGUUAUUUUCAUAUGGAUGCAGGACAUAAACUGACAUGAGAGGUUCGGCAAUCUGAAGCGGAAGUUCGUCUCGAGUAGCGCUCCGGAAGCAGCGCGCGUUACCAUGGCGACCGCAGCGCGUCCUGUUGUGAAGACGCAGGAGAGAUGAUCGGACUCUGGCUGUAGAUCAUGCUGUCCAGCGCGCCGCACGCCCGCGGCUUCAUCCACGAGAGCAAGCCGCGGCCCGAGGUGCGUCUCCGCCGGUGUCUCAGUGUUUGUUUCUCGGUGUCUGUCUCUGACUGACCACUGUUUUGCAGGCUGUGAGGGUCACGGAUCUCUCUCGAGUGCUUCAGCUGCUGCGGGAGCCGCUCUCGGUAGUCUCGUCCUCGUUAAAAGAAAGGCAGGUUUUCAUCUUGAAGAAGGUGGUAAAACAAUGCCAGCAUGGAUUUGUAUCCUAAAAGUUUCAUGUAGAUGGGACCAUAGGUGGC
Molecule: long non-coding RNA, 682 nt
Organism: Cyprinus carpio (common carp)
Lineage: Eukaryota; Metazoa; Chordata; Actinopteri; Cypriniformes; Cyprinidae
Source: Ensembl